UAAGUUACAAACACACAUUUUAAUGCCAGACACACAAGAAGGGCUUUCCAAGAGAUGCUAGGUGUUCCUGAGUGGUCCAGUCUCAGUCCUGGCUUAAAUCUGCUUAUAUAAACAUAUUUAAGGUUUAAGUAUAGCUUUUUUUUCACUUUGCCUUCUUUAAGGCAGCACAAUGUGAAGACUAGGCACUGUACACUAUACUCCUCGCAGCCCAUACUGCCUCAAUGCUUUGCUCUGUCCUAUUCACAGGGGAACAGAUUGGGAUGGCAUCUCUGCAGCAGAAAGACCAUUAAGGUCCCAGAUCUCUCUGGGGAAAAUAGAAUGCAACCAUUGGCAAGGUCAAGUACAGCAUGACAGGGUAAAGAAACAAAUUGAAAGUAUCCUUUUCAAAUAUAUUGCGGUCAAAUACAUUGUCUGCAUAUCUCAUUUACGCCUUGGUUGAUAAUCAACUGUGGUUACCAAUGCUGUUGUGUUCACAACAUGCUCCUAUCCUACCAACUAUGUACUGUGUUCUAACCUCCAGAAUGACGAUAGUGAAUCUGGGACUUCCCAAGUCUGCUUUGGUACUGAUGCCAGGUACUGGAGUCAGGCUGGCUAUUACUAAUGCCUUCAUCAACCUGCACGGGAACUGGAGGGUCCGAUACUUCAGGUUCAUGUGAGUUCAUGAGUGUUCUUCUGCCCUGGUUUCAGGGAACCUCUGGGUUGUGCAGGCUUUUGUUCCAGCACAAGAAUAGCACACUAGCCAUUUAAAACACUGUACAAUUUCCUCUUGUGUCUAUCCACACUCCAAGGGGCUCAAUCAACAGUUCUUAGUUUCUGUGUGACAUUACAGAAAAGACCGUGAUGGUAAAUGGACUCACCAUCACUGCCAGUAUUGCACUCAAGAGGGAUAAGACUGGUAGGCUCAUGGUCAGCACUGUCAACUGUGUGGCCAACGUGGGCAGCGUUGGAGUAUAUCCAUGUAUCUGAACUAAACACUAUGGUGCACUUAAAACUUUUUCAGAAUGCAUGUUACCGACUUAAUCAAUCCACAAUGUCUUAAAAUGAUUUUAAUGUGGAUUUAUUGUGUUACUUUUCCUCAAAUGCUUGGUUUCUGUUUUCCAGCAGGCUGGACAAUCUUUUCACGUCCUACACUGGCAAGGCCUUGCACAGUGCUCUGCAGAAACAGGUGAGGGACAGUGUAAUGCCAGACAACAAACUCAACAGGUUAAUCUCGUUCUGUUCUUGUGACAAUAACAAUCCCUCUGUUCAUUUUUACAGAUCUGCCCCCUAGUGGCUGAUGGUAUUACUGACAUGAACCCACACCUCAAAACGUUCAAUGGUAAAACAAGAUUUGAAGGCCAAAUGCAGCCAGUUUUAUAUCAAUAACAAGAUUUACAGAAUUUAGCUUAAUGAACAUACUGUAGGAGAUUAUUAUUGUGUUAUUCAUAGGCUAGUAAAUGCAUCCUAAAUAUUUAAUAUUUUCUGCCAUCUUGAAGUUCUAGUCAAAGAGGACAAGGAUGCUGAAAUUGAAUAUUACGUUUUGAAAUCAUCCAUUGAAUUCAGUCUGAAGGUGAGAACUCCAGAUUUCUGACUCCUAAUCUAUCCUCAUUUCAGAUUUGGAGUCACUAAAACAAGAGGCUAGAGGUAAAAUCUCUCCCGCUCUCUCUCCCUUUCUCUUUCCACCUCUCUCUCCCUCGCUCUCUCCUUUCAUCUUUUUCUCCCUCCCUCCCUCCUUCCGUCCGUCCGUCCGUCCGUCUGUCUGUCUGUCUGUCUGUCUGUCUGUCUGUCUGUCUGUCUGUCUGUCUGUCUGUCUGUCUGUCUGUCUGUCUGUCUGUCUGUCUGUCUGUCUGUCUGUCUGUCUGUCUGUCUGUCUGUCUGUCUGUCUGUCUGUCUGUCUGUCUGUCUGUCUGUCUGUCUGUCUGUAUCUCUGUCUGUCUGUAUCUCUGUCUGUCUGUAUCUCUGUCUGUCUGUAUCUGUAUCUCUGUCUGUAUCUCUGUCUCUGUCUGUGUCUGUAUCUGUAUCUCUGUUUGUAUCUCAAAUCAAAUCAAAUCAAAUGUAUUUAUAUAGCUGAUAUCUCAAAGUGCUGUACAGAAACCCAGCCUAAAACCCCAAACAGCAAGCAAUGCAGGUGUAGAAGCACGGUGGCUAGGAAAAACUCCCUAGAAAGGCCAAAACCUAGGAAGAAACCUAGAGAGGAACCAGGCUAUGUGGGGUGGCCAGUCCUCUUCUGGCUGUGCCGGGUGGAGAUUAUAACAGAACAUGGCCAAGAUGUUCAAAUGUUCAUAAAUAACCAGCAUGGUCAAAUAAUAAUAAUCACAGGCAGAACAGUUGAAACUGGAGCAGCAGCACGGCCAGGUGGACUGGGGACAGCAAGGAGUCAUCAUGUCAGGUAGUCCUGAGGCAUGGUCCUAGGGCUCAGGUCCUCCGAGAGAGAGAAAGAAAGAGAGAAAGAGAGAAUUAGAGAGAGCAUACUUAAAUUCACACAGGACACCGGAAAGGACAUGAGAAGUACUCCAGAUAUAACAAACUGACCAUAGCCCCCCGACACAAACUACUGCAGCAUAAAUACUGGAGGCUGAGACAGGAGGGGUCAGGAGACACUGUGGCUCCAUCCGAAGACACCCCCGGACAGGGCCAAACAGUAAGGAUAUAACCCCACCCACUUUGCCAAAGCACAGCCCCCACACCACUAGAAGGAUAACUUCAACCACCAACUCACCAUCCUGAGACAAGGCCGAGUAUAGCCCACAAAGUUCUCCGCCACGGCACAACCCAAGGGGGGGGACGCCAACCCAGACAGGAAGAUCACAUCAGUGACUCAACCCACUCAAGUGACACACCCCUCCUAGGGACGGUAUGAAAGAGCCCUAGUAAGCCAGUGACUCAGCCCCUGUAAUAGGGUUAGAGGCAGAGAAUCCCAGUGGAAAGAGGGGAACCGGCCAGGCAGAGACAGCAAGGGCGGUUCGUUGCUCCAGAGCCUUUCAGUUCACCUUCACACUCCUGGGCCAGACAACACUCAAUCAUAUGACCCACUGAAGAGAUGAGUCUUCAGUAAAGACUUAAAGGUUGAGACCGAGUUUGUGUCUCAUGGGUCUCUGUAUGUAUGUAUGUAUGUAUGUAUGUAUGUAUGUAUGUAUGUAUGUAUGUAUGUAUGUAUGUAUGUAUGUAUGUAUGUAUGUAUGUAUGUAUGUAUGUAUGUAUGUAUGUAUGUAUGUAUGUAUGUAUGUAUGUAUGUAUGUAUGUAUGUAUGUAUGUAUAUGUAUGUAUGUAUGUAUGUAUGUAUGUAUGUAUGUAUGUAUGUAUGUAUGUCUGUA
Oncorhynchus tshawytscha (Chinook salmon) is the source of this 3293-nucleotide long non-coding RNA. NCBI's taxonomy places the organism in Eukaryota, Metazoa, Chordata, Actinopteri, Salmoniformes, Salmonidae. The record is from Ensembl.